GGAGUGUCAGGGGCGGGGUUCCCGUGUUGCGCUAUGGAAAAUCGUUAGGGAGAUACACUGUGAUAAACGUGCGCUCCCAGAUUGAUAACACCAACAAUAAGGCUGAAACAGGAACAUGGUGGAGUGACCAUUAACCGAGGACCCGGUGUGAGUGGCGCCGGCCGGGAAAUGGAUGAGGCUCCUUCGGCACGGGAGAGAAACAGGCUUGGGAUAAACACGAUCUGGCUUUUUCAUCUUGCACCACUAUAAACCCCACUUGGACCAGGAGCAGGACUGGAUGCCUGAGGCAGACCCAGGAGAGGAAACAGUAUCCUAUUGUGCAUUACAAAGAAGUCUACAGGGAGCUCCGGAGAUCUAUUUUUCCCCAGUAUGAUUCAUAGACAGUUUUUGUUGUUGUUCAUUUCUAGUGCCAGUCUGUUGACGUGUCCGUUCUUACACUGAGAUCUUGGUCAUCUGAUGCACUUCUAAUGCAAGAGAUUGACCUGCUGUGUCAUUCUUAGGGGAGCUGACCGUGACUCGGUGGUUCUUCUCAUUGGUCUCUUCCUGAAUCUCCCCGAGUUUCUGGUUCGUUUUCUGUCUCUCUGUUUUAAAGGAUAACAGUAUCAGCUCUAAUAUGGGCCUUUGGAAAUAUCUCAAACGUAUCAAUUUAUAGACUAAAAAUAUGCUCUGUUUGUAGCACAUAAUAGUUUUUGUAGUCAGUAAAAUGUAGUAGUUUGUGCAAAUAAAUCCCUUCUCAGUGUGUGUGAUAAAACAGUUGGGUAUUCGGUCUCCCAUUAAAUAACCAAAAAUUGAGAUGAUGUUCAUCAAACAUUCUUUUAUGGAAAUUGAACACCACGCCUAAGCUUGGUAGUGUUUCAACACAGUACUGUAACUGCAGAGGUUUACAUAGGCAAGAAAAGGUUUAUAGUGUGUGCCUCAGAAAUGUAGUUCUCCCUAUCAAAUAGCCAUGAGAAGGGCAGAUCUGUAACUGAAAGAGGAAUUUGUUUUCCUUCUUAAUCGCAGCUAAAACAAAAGCAAAUAGGGUAUUUAACUAACUGCCUGCGUGGCAUUGUUUUCUGUCUUUGUCCAUUCUUCCCGGGUAAUAUUAAUACCACACCUUGUCUCAUGUCCAUGUUUCUUUAUAUUCAUUGAAAUGUGCUUUGUCUAGAUGAUGGAUCUGUAAGGACAGUAUCCACUAAAAUAUGUGCUAUAAUAAUAUAAAAGCAAAGCAAUGAGUCUGUUAAGCUGUCUGGCAAGAAACUUUGUCUAAUGGAAAACUAAUAUUUCAUUGUAUUCCUUCACACAAAUCCAAUGUACUGAAAGAGUGAGCCAAUUUUAUGGAUAGCCUUAGAAUAAUUUAGUUGGUAAAAUACAUGCAAGAGAGUCAGAUGUCGGGUUCACCCACAUCAUGCAAAUCAAUCAUUAAAGAAAAUGUUAAAAAGUGAUGAUAGUAAUUGUUUUUUUUUAUUGCAGAAGGGGCAUGGCUUCCUAAUGUGUUUUUUCUUCAAAGCAUCCUCCCCAGGAAACUGGUUUCAGAUGGUGUCUUAGAGUAUAAAAUCCUGUCUAGCACCAUUUGAAAUCGGUGUUCUUGAGCGGGAACAGACUUCAGGAAUGAUAACAGUGACAACCUCAUUCACCAAGUUGCUAGGGAGUUUGUGAUUGCAGUUUGAUGGUAUUCUUUACAUUCACGUUUUUACAAACUAGUCCAUGUUUGUUAUACAUUCAGUUAAAUGAUCAGUUUAGGAUUAUUUAAAAACAUAAUAUCCACUUGUCAAAUAUGUGUCCAUUGGUUCUCUGGAUCUGCUCUUUAGUAAAUCAGUUUACACUCCAGUGAUCAGAAGAAAAGGAGGCAUUGGAUAAGUGCAGUGAAACUGACCCCCCUCUCACCAAGGCUGACCGUUUUCCUCUGGUGUUUAGAGUUUCCAUCAUGUCUAGCACCAUUUGAAAUCGGUUACAAUGUGGAGAGACUGUCAACAAAGCUUUGGCUUCAGCAGUUGUGUGAUGAAUUUCCUUAAAGUACCAGAAGAUGGCAGCAUCGAGCUGCCAUCCAUGCUACCGCCCAAGGCUACCAAGUUUUUUAGAAUCAUUGAAGCAGUAAGUGUUUUACUGGGUGACCACCAAGACCAACAAAACUUUUAUGAAUUCAGUUUCUUCUUCAGCCAUUUUUCCAUCAUGCAGCCGUGCUGUGUGCAAGUUCCAGCUACAGUAAUUUUGUCCUGUGAUUUUCUUCCAGGGAAAGAUGAUAAAGAAAGAGAUCCUAGUUAAGAGGUUGUGUAUCUGCCUAGUGCAGAAUUGUCAUUUAGCUCUGUACUGUAUUUCCAUUAAUAAAGUAAAACUGUUUUUCCUUCAAA
Molecule: long non-coding RNA, 2330 nt
Organism: Micropterus salmoides (largemouth bass)
Lineage: Eukaryota; Metazoa; Chordata; Actinopteri; Centrarchiformes; Centrarchidae
Exons: 2
Source: RefSeq, a predicted model, not a curated record